AUUUGCAUCGUGUCAGAGUUCUGCUCUUCUUCUUCUUCUUCAGACUUUGUGCAUUUUAACAUUCAAUCCUUUUUACUGAAAACAAGUCGACCAAAGGACAGCAGCUCCUUCACACCUGAUCUUUCUCCACCAACUCUACGGUAUCUCUCCUGCUGCUGACAAUAGAACUCAUCUCUCUCCUGUCAUUCAGAUCAACAUGAAGAUCUCUAUCUUUGCUGGUGUUCUGCUGAUCUCUGCUGCCGUGAUCUCUCAGGACUUAGAUCCAAGAGUUAAGAAGUUUAUAAAUCAGCAUAUCAACCAGAACAUGAAUCCUAACAGCUGUGACGCCGUGAUAAAAAAGAGAAAAAUCCAUCAAACCAAUAGUAACAAGUGUAAGGAGGAGAACACCUUUAUCAGUGCCAGUUAUGGCGUUGUCAAAAAGGUCUGUGGGGAUGAAGGAGAGAGGUAUCCAGAAAAUCAAAAUCUGAGAAUCAGCCUUAAAAAGUUCAGAGUUGUUAAUUGCAAAUGCAAUGAGAACCUCACGUUUGACUACUGUGGCUGUGAAGGCAAACGUCCCAACAUCAGAAUUGUAAUCGGUUGUGAUAACAAUGGUAACCCUGUUCACUAUGAAGAAGGUCUGUACAUUCCCAACUGAUAAAUGAAUCAGAGUAAUCUGUUACUACCUGAUGAAUCAGAGUAAUCUGUUACUACCUGAUGAAUCAGCGUAAUCUAUUACUACCUGAUGAAU
This is a long non-coding RNA of Perca fluviatilis (European perch), 727 nucleotides long. RefSeq lists it as uncharacterized. Lineage: Eukaryota; Metazoa; Chordata; Actinopteri; Perciformes; Percidae. The record is from RefSeq and is a predicted model, not a curated record. The transcript has 3 exons.